Molecule: long non-coding RNA, 3752 nt
Organism: Felis catus (domestic cat)
Lineage: Eukaryota; Metazoa; Chordata; Mammalia; Carnivora; Felidae
Exons: 4
Source: RefSeq, a predicted model, not a curated record
AAAAAAAAAUGAAAACCAAUGAUUGCUUCCUUGGUGCAAAGUAAAACGAAAUUCUCACUGUUAAUUAGACAUUUACGGGAAAUCUCAAGAGCUAGUUAAGUGAAUUCUUUCUCACAUGGAACACAUAAAACAUUUUAAUGUUUUUGCGAGAAGCGAUAGGGCCCCCUACCGUCUGGUUUUAGCAAAGGUGAUCGAUCGUUCCAGGGAACCAUGUGCUUUUGAGUCAAGAGCUACUUACAUAUGGCUCUUUUCUCUCCAGGAGAACGUUUGUAACCGUGCUGUCCCCACAAUCCCACAAUGACCACAGUGCAGAAUUUGUUCCUCUGGAAUGUGUUAGGUUCCAGGUGGCCCAGCAGAGGGACACGUCUCAUUCUAGGACGACAUGAUGAGCGUGUAGUCACAUGGGCUACCUGCCAGUCCUCGCCGGGUCACCGGAGAAGGGACCUGGGGCCGGAACCGUUCAGACAGGAGGCCGUGCGAUGGCAGAUGUGAAGAGAGCGCGGGGACCCCCACCGAGGGCCUGUGUCCCAGUCCUGGGAGGACUGUGCUCAGUCAGAAGGUGCGGCCGAUUGCAGGGCAGAGAAACCCCUGUUACGUUCAAGGAGACUUGGAUGCAAUACCGACACUCACCAGACACCGGAGAGCAGGUCACCGGACACGGACCCAGCACCUUCAGGGUUUUACAUGAGCCUUAGAUUCCUGUCCUGGGAGAAUGCAGUGGCAACAGUACAAACCCAUCAGCAGGAUGGAGUACAGCCUGAAAACACUAAAAAGGCCCAAGACCUUGGACUUCCUGUACAGGAUGGGAACACCCUCUGACUGGAAGAGAAAUGUCAGUGCCGUGCUGAGUGUCUGGGGGAAUGAGUGCCUCGGGAAAAUGGCGGCCCGCGUGGUGAAGUUCGACAUCACCGACUAGGGAGCCGAGGGUUUUUCCAGAAAGGUGGCCGACGACACGACGAGUAACAGAUCAACAGGAAACACGCUUCGCUUGUUUCACGUUGUGUACUGAGAACCUUGUUACCAGCACAGGCGCACAGUGGGAAAAUGGAGGUGUUGACUACAAUUUGACGACAACCUCAUCGCCAAGGUUCCAAUAAACUUAUACAUUACCGUUCGACCCACUGAGAAAUAAUUAAUGAUUUUUACCACCAAGGUGUUAUGCUCCCUGUCUUACGUGACAACAACAGUGACCAUGAUUUUCAGGUGCCUGGAUGUCUGUGUACGGAACUGGUCAUCUUCCACUGACCGGUAAGUAGAUGCCCUUUGGACGAGUGACUGAAGGGCCUGGGCGUGGGAUGGGCACAGAAAAUAGAGGACCGUCAAGCCCAACUUCUGUGGUGGUGUAUCGGCCAUGGGUCUCCGGAGAAACGGCGCCGGUAGGGGGGAGGAAGGAGGCUUAUUUUAAGGAUUUGGCUCAUGCAUUUGUGGGCCUGUCAGGUCUAAAACCUGCAGGAUGGACCUGCUCAGCUCCCAGGUGGAGCUGAGGCCGGUGGGAGGGAAACUCUUGUUGGCCUCUCUCUUUUUCUCUUAAGACCUUGAACCGAUCGGAUGCGGUCCAACCACAUCUGGGCGGAUCGUCUGCUUUGCUCAAAGGCUGCCGAUUAAAAUGCUGGUCACGUCUAAAAACUAGCUUCACAGAAACGUCUUGGCUGGUGUUUGACCGAGUAUCUGGGCAGCGUGGCCACGUGAACCCAGAGUGUUGACCUCACGCUAAUGCGCACAGCGGUGAGAUGAGACCUCCCCCGGCUCCUUGUGGCCGGCAGCCCGGCGCCCUGGCAGGACGUGGUGCCAGGAGGAGGGUGGCCAGGGUGGCGGAGCGCCGAGCGCCGAGUGCGGGAUGCGUGUGCCUCCAGACGUGUGUUACUUAAUCCUCAGGGCAGCUCUCCCAGGGAGACUCCUCUUAGACGGGUUCGGUGAGCUGUCGGGGGUCGUGACGCUAAGUAGGAGAGCUGGGAGGACGCCUGUCCGUGUCCCUGGGGCGUCCUGGGCGCUGUGACAUGGCCUGCGGGUCACGUGCAGGGGCAGCCCGGCAGCGAGAGCGUGUAACCCCCACCUGUGCACCUUGCCGUUCUCAGAAACUGCAGGAGGGGCCGGGGGACCUCCACGUGGCCCGUGAACCCAGUUCCAGGUGCACACCGGGCCUGGGCCUCCACACCACAUGCCCUGCCCGGUCACCUGGUGGGAGACAGCCUCGUGCCAGGACGUGCCCCGUGCUCCCUGCUGCGGCCCCAGCUGGGACAGCACGAUGACGCUUCUUCGAGUGGGAAGAGUCAGAAGACAGGGCUUGGUCAACACUGACGGACACUCACCACUUCCACACGAGGAGGGAGCCAUAGAACCAUCCCGGGUUCCAGGUGUGCACGGCGGCCGAGGACACCUGAAGGAGCACAGGUCAGCCCUUCCUGCAGGAAGGACAGUCUCUGCACCCACAUGAGCCCCGCACGGCCACCAUGGGGGAGAGGAUCCACUGUGGGGCCCCGGGGCCUGGGGCCCGAGUCAGAGACAAGGUCCUGGGGCCACCUGCCUUCUGUGCCCUCGACCGGCCCCACGCAGGGUGCUCAGGGGCCGCUGCCCAUCCCUGCUGACGGGUCGGAGGGCUCCGGGCCCGGCGCCAGGCCAGCUUUUACGCAUCCCACCAGGAGCCAACCAGAGCCCGGAGCCCAGCUCUGCGAGAUUUCAGAAACCGAGCCCUUGACCUCCACGCCGGCCCUCUCCCUGCUCCACUUAAUUGUGUCUUCAGAUAUUUUCAGAAAUGGGUGGUCAGAGCUUUUCCUCAGAGAUGCGUGGGCAGAGUAUUUGGCCAAAGUGCAGUAUUAAGCGACUAGAAUAGAAAAGUUCUUACAGAGCUCUGCCCUUCUCGGGCGGGCUUGUCCCUCCUCUCAGCGAAUUCACACCCACGUCGUGACAAGAUGGGAGAGAUGUUUUUCAGCGAGCCAAGCCAUAGGAAAUAAGGACGACGGAAACAUAUGUCUGUCCAGCACAUUUACAUCACAGAAGCCACAUGGACCACUGCUGUCCCGGGGAGCAGCCGCAGCUGACAGUGAUGUAGAGCUGACCCACUGCCCAGGAACCAGGGGGUCCUGGGUCAUUUGCUACGUGAAGAGAAGUCGUGAGUCACUGAGGACUAUCGGUCUCCCCAGGAACUGCGUGCGAAGUGCCCAGUACCUGUCUGCACACACACACACACACACACACACACACACACACACACAGUUGCCCUCCCUCCGUGUGCAGCCCUGCUCUUGGCAGGUCCAGCAGGAAACGAAGGAGGUAAUAAGCAUCCCACCCCCCACACACCAAAGGGGAGAAAUGAUCGAGAAGGAGGCAUGUAAUUGUCUCACUAUUUGUAUUGAUUUCUAAUUCUCUUUCUGAUUUCCAGAACAUCUCAUGUGUGAGCCGAUCCAUCCUGCAGAGUGGUAAUGACACGUCAUGUGACAUGACAAAUGGGGGCAUGGUGGCCGCAGGCACUGAAUGAGGACCCCCCCCCCAGUUCACUCUCGGCACCUUUAUGUCCCUUAAGCAUUUGCCUCUUCCCAAAAGGUGCGGCCUUACCCAGAGCCACCUCUCCCCGCAGGAGUCGGACCUCUGUGUGAGCAGACUGUCACUGUGAUGGCAGGUGGACACCCAGCCAUCAGCCGAAGGCCGCUGGCCGUCCAAGAAAUGGCCUCAGAAAGACCAGGGAGCAAAGCCACGGGCACAAUCUGGGUUUCUGUCACCAGCAGAGAAAUUGCACAUGAGAACAAUUUUAGGCU